This 810-nucleotide ribosomal RNA is filed under the name uncultured bacterium. Its description in RNAcentral is "SSU rRNA". It matches the Rfam family "Bacterial small subunit ribosomal RNA", at positions 70 to 853 of the family's 1533-position model. The record is from RNAcentral.
AAGAGGAAACUUGUUUCCUCGGAUCUUAGUGGCGAACGGGUGAGUAACGCGUAAUCAACCUGCCCUUCAGAGGGGGAUAACAAUCGGAAACGAUUGCUAAUACCGCGUAAGUUCACUGUCCGGCAUCGGAUAGUGAGGAAAGGUGGCCUCUAUUUAUAAGCUAUCGCUGAAGAAGGGGAUUGCGUCUGAUUAGCUAGUUGGAGGGGUAACGGCCCACCAAGGCAAUGAUCAGUAGCCGGUCUGAGAGGAUGAACGGCCACAUUGGGACUGAGACACGGCCCAAACUCCUACGGGAGGCAGCAGUGGGGAAUCUUCCGCAAUGGACGAAAGUCUGACGGAGCAACGCCGCGUGAGUGAUGAAGGUCUUCGGAUUGUAAAGCUCUGUUAAUCGGGACGAAAGGUCCGCUUGUAAAUAAUGAGUGGAGUUGACGGUACCGGAAUAGAAAGCCACGGCUAACUACGUGCCAGCAGCCGCGGUAAUACGUAGGUGGCAAGCGUUGUCCGGAAUUAUUGGGCGUAAAGCGCGCGCAGGCGGAUCGGUAAGUCUGUCUUAAAAGUUCGGGGCUCAACCCCGUGAUGGGAUGGAAACUGCGGAUCUAGAGUAUCGGAGAGGAAAGCGGAAUUCCUAGUGUAGCGGUGAAAUGCGUAGAUAUUAGGAAGAACACCAGUGGCGAAGGCGGCUUUCUGGACGAAAACUGACGCUGAGGCGCGAAAGCCAGGGGAGCGAACGGGAUUAGAUACCCCGGUAGUCCUGGCCGUAAACGAUGGGUACUAGGUGUAGGAGGUAUCGACCCCUUCUGUGCCGGAGUU